CAGUGACGAGGCCGAUAGCUGCAGAACGGCACCCUUGCACUUGGGCAGCCCCGACCUGGAAUGCAAACCUUGCUUACCCAGAGUUCAGCAGAGGAAGCCUGGCAGUGUCCAGCAGAGGAAGCCUGGCGGUGCGUCACACAUGGGCUCUCUGUGGAUGCAGAGUCCAGCAGAGGAAGCCUGGCGGUGUGUCACACAUGGGCUCUCUGUGGACGCAGAGUCCAGCAGAGGAAGCCUGGCAGUGCGUCACACAUGGGCUCUCUGUGGUCACUUGCCAGGAGCUGAGAGGCCAUGGAGAAAUGAGGCUUCAUUCGCCCUGGUUUAAACCUAAGAGCAUCCUACCCCAGGGCUCCCGAGGACGUCACCGAACAACCUGAGAGGGCAGAUGUUGGCAAUUAGCGCUUCUCCGUUCAGACCUCCGAAAAGCCUCCUGCUGGGCCUUUCUGUAAAUAGCUUCAACUGGCUAGCAAAACUGAUAGAAGGACUUUCGGACUAUUAACCAACCAUGAGGGACAAAUGCAGCAAUCUCUCCAGACACAUGGAUGCCACAGGUGCCACCCCCGAACAGAGUGGUGUUGAGACUGAGAAAAUUUGUAAGAGCUCCUGGUACCAGCCUGCAGCUGCCAUGAGUGAUAACUGAUAGCCAGUCACCAAGAUCUUUCCUGUCCACCACUCUGAACAGAAGGCAGCUCAGGCAAAGGCUUGCAGACUCUGAGAUCUUCACACAGUUUGUCUCUCACCACUGGUGCCAGAGAUACCUUCAGGCUUGCAGGGGAGCCGGGAUGUUGCUAGCCCAAGCUGAGAGGAAAGAGAGUAAGGUGGGCAUGGUUAAUGCUACACUCAGACGCUCGCUUACCCACUCUGAUGCUCACCCUUUCAGAUACUCACCCACUCCAACCAUCUGUUGUUUAUGUUCUGGCUUCAUUGAACACCAUGAGGAUGAAGGACAGGAGGAACAAAAAGGGAAAUCUGACUUCAAGUACUCAGAACUUGGGGUUCUGUGUGGAGCACUGUCUCUCAACCCCAGCAUACCCGUGAUGCUUCCCUAUGCCUGGACUUCCUGACCCAACAGCAGGGAUGGAAGCAGCAAGGGUGGGAGCCACCACAGAGCAAGAGUGAGGGUGUCUUGGUGUGUUCUAGUUUCUAGCCUAGAGUCUUUAGUGGAAUGUUGAGGGUCCUUUUGCCCAGAUUCCAACCUUAUUUAUCCUCGUGCCUGUUAGCCUUAAACACAUUAGAUUCUCCACGGGUGUUCAAGGAAAUGAGGAAGGCAUGAAUGUAAGUUUUCUCAUCCCCCCCUCCCCUCAAGUGCUCCUGUAAGGUUAAGAGAGCAGGAUGUUCUGAGAACAAGAGGAGGCCAUCUUUGAAUUGAUUGACCCCAACAGGUGAAGAAGAACCAAGUCUCUCUCUUCAUUUUCUUUGCAUGGGAGUCACCGGGUCUUCCUCUGCCAUUGCUACUGUUAAAUCACUUUAGUACAAAUGUUGGCCACCAGACAAUUGCAACCUUUCCACUUCAAUCCACUUCUCCAAGCAAAAUGCAGAUCACAAAACCAUUAUCACAACCUAUUCCCAUGCUAAUUAUGGGCGAAGUCUACCAUGGUCGGAUACCCUCUGGGCUAGGCGCAAAAUGGCAGACUCCGUUUACCAGCAGGGCCUCUCCUUCUCUGACCUCUACCUGUAGAGCAUCUCCUAGCCUUGGGUAAGAUUACAGGAUCAACUUCCUUUCUCGAGAUAAGCUAGUACCUGAGAUUCCUGGAAUGCCUAAUGCUCUAAUUCCUCUCUAUGCUAAUGAGGUAUUUCCUGUACUUUAAGCCUUCAGCCAGUGACCUUUGCCCACCCUGGAUGUUCCUACCCCGAGUCCCCAAAACUGUAUGAUCCUUGAAUCACCCCAAGUAAAGUUAAUCUGCCUCCCCAUA
Mastomys coucha (southern multimammate mouse) is the source of this 1910-nucleotide long non-coding RNA. RefSeq lists it as uncharacterized. The transcript has 3 exons. The record is from RefSeq and is a predicted model, not a curated record. NCBI's taxonomy places the organism in Eukaryota, Metazoa, Chordata, Mammalia, Rodentia, Muridae.